UAAAGAAUCUUUUUUGCCCUGACUCUUCUGACUCAGAAUAAUGUGUUUGAGAAUCAUCAAUGUUGUGCCCAUCAAUUGAGCAGUUAAUUCUGAAUGGAAGAUAGACAUAAAGUGAGGAAUGGCAAAGACAAGCUAAAAGCCAUGAAUAUAAACUGAAACUGAAAAGUAUCAGGAAGAUAGACAUAAAGUGAGAAACGGCAAAGACAAGCUAAAAGCCAUGAAUAUAAACUGAAACUGAAAAGUAUCAGUUGUCUGAAACCCAUGAGGACAUACUCACUGGACCCUUAUCAGUUCUUAUUGCUUCCACCAUGGUGAAUUGCAUGUCCUACAGGAGAAGCUGACACCCUGAAGAACGGAACUAAAUCAUAUCUGGUCAUCAGUAAGAGCAGAAAGAGGAUUUAAGGGUAAGUGGAAGAGUUGCAGACUUAGUAGUUGUUGCUCUACACCAAAGAGAUAAACAAGCAGGUGGACACCAACAUGAGUGAGGUGCAGAAGCUGUUUGCCCCAACCUCUCAAGCAAAUACACAAAAAAGCUACUACUUCACUUCUGUAUUCCAAAUAUUGAAUGAAAAUAUGACUAUUAUUUGUCUGAACUGGAAAUAUUCUGAGAAGGAAACCCCAGGAAAUAUUCCACCUCAGAUGCCUGAAUCCUGAGUAUGGAAGAAACAAUUGAUUUGAAGUACAUACUGCAUCCUGGAGGAGGUUUUCCUACUUAUCCUACGUACUGCCACCUAACUGAUGCUAUAAACAAGUCUUCAAAAGGCCAGUUUGCCUGUUGCUUCGGGAUAGUGGGAAACAUGCUAAGACCAGUUAAUUUCAUGAGACUGGACCCAUGUCUGCUCUGCAUCUGCUAUAAAGUGAGUUCCAACGAUCAGAAGCAAUGAUAAAUGGAAUAGUAUGAUGGCAGAUAAGGCAUCAAUAAGUCCAUGGAUGGUGUUGACAGAAGUGUUACAGUCAGGGAAGGGAAAUUCAUAUUCAGGGUAAUUGUCUAUUGAAGUGAGAACAAAGUGUCUCCCCUUCCAAGAUGAAGUAGUUUAAAGUAAUCAACUUGCCACCGGGUAACUGGCUGAUCACUCUGGGGAGUUGUGCCAUAGCUGGUACUCAGUGCUAAUCUCUGUUACAGGUUGGACAUUCAGUAGUGAGUGGCUGCAGUCAGGUCAGCUUUGGUGAGUGGCAGGCCAUGUUGCUGAGCUCAUGCAUACCUUUCAUCCUUGCCACUAGGGCCAUUUUGUUCAUGAACCCAUUGGGCAGUGACAGGAGCAGCCAGGAAUGAAGGUGCCUGGUAUCUAUAGAAUGGGUCAUCCUCUUCACUUGAUCAUUAAAAUUCUUCUUUGCUGAUAUCACUCUUUAGUAAGCAUUCACAUGGAACACAAAUAGAAUGACAUUCUUCACCCAUUAUAUCAGGUCUACCCACUGUUCCCUUCCCCUGGUCACUGGCACUAGUACUACUGUGAGUAAGAGCCUCCUUAAAUUGUGUGUGCUAGGGACCUCAGUUGUCUCACUCACCCUAGUCCUGGCCAGGGUCUAUAUCUCCAUGUCCAAACUACUUAAAAGACCAAGAAAAUUCUGUCUACAAACUUCUACCAUUUAUUUUUAGAAAUUGAGGAAAAUGGGAAAGAUACCAGAAGCCUGAAGAGGAUUAACUAUUGAGCAAUUCUGCCCAGAAAUUUCAGAAACCAUUCAUUCAUGCAUCCCUUUACAUGACAUUGAUAGCAUGCCAGACUGGGCAAUUUGGACUUUAUGCUGAAGACAGCAGGGAAUCAUUGAAGAGAUUUAAGCUUAUGAGAAAAGGCUGAUGUCAUUAGAUUUAUAGUAUUCAUAGAAGUCUCUCUGAUUGCAGUAUAGACUAUGGAACAAAAGGGGAAGGGAUCGAAAACAGGGAGGACCUAUUUUUUUCCUGAAUGAACGUGGGAGAAGUGAUAGCCAUUGUGCCUCAAUAAAGCUUAUAUGAAAAGAAAGAGUGGUCAGUUUUUCUCAAGCUACCCAGGAAGAUACUCAAGGGCUGAGGAUAUUGAAGUGGGAGCCACAGAGAAGUUUCAAGGAUGGGAUAAUAGUUGCAGAGUCAUAGAAAAAUAUGUAGAUAACUAAUAGAUGAAAAAAAAGGGUAAGGUGUAUUCUAGAUAAAAGCCACCUGAU
Long non-coding RNA from Canis lupus familiaris (dog), 2136 nucleotides. RefSeq lists it as uncharacterized. The record is from RefSeq and is a predicted model, not a curated record. The transcript is spliced from 3 exons. Lineage: Eukaryota; Metazoa; Chordata; Mammalia; Carnivora; Canidae.